This 406-nucleotide ribosomal RNA is filed under the name uncultured bacterium. RNAcentral's name for it is "partial 16S ribosomal RNA". It matches the Rfam family "Bacterial small subunit ribosomal RNA", at positions 30 to 526 of the family's 1533-position model. The record is from RNAcentral.
AUUGAACGCUGGCGGCAGGCCUAACACAUGCACGUCGAACGAGUGGCGGACGGGUGAGUAAUGUCUGGGAAACUGCCUGAUGGAGGGGGAUAACUACUGGAAACGGUAGCUAAUACCGCAUACCAUCGGAUGUGCCCAGAUGUGAUUAGCUAGUAGGUGGGGUAAAGGCUCAACUAGGAGACUAUCCCUAGCUGGUCUGAGAGGAUGACCAGCAACACGGGAACUGUGACACGGGCCAUACUCCGACGGGAGGCAGCAGUGGGGAAUAGUGCACAAUGGGCGCAAGCCUGAUGCAGCCAUGACGAGUGUAUGAAGAAGGCCUGCGGGUUGUAAAGUACUUGCAGCGGGGAGGCGUUACCCGCAGAAGAAGCACCGGCUAACUCCGUGCCAGCCGCCGCGGUAAUUC